CUUAAAGCCUCCCUUUAGAUACUGAAAGGCCACUGGCAGGUCUCCCUGGAACCUUCUCUUCUCCAGGCUGAACAGUGUGGUAUCUCAUGCCAUGUUCCACCUUUUCUUUUUCUCUGUUUCCAUAUUGAAACUGUGAGCGGGAAGUCGACACAAGGGGCCAUGAAAAGAAAGGCCAUGGUAUUUUUUGCUGAGAAUGUGUUUUUGGGGUCCUGUUUGAUACUCAUGAAAGAAAAUUGCUCUUUUCAGUUUUCCAACUCUGGGCCAGACCCAGGGGCUAGCAGACCCCAUAGUUGUACCCCACAGCCUGAUCUGCACCGGACACCUUCCUCUUGCUGCCGCUUUUGUCUUAAACCAGGCUCCCGUGUCAUGGUCCUGCUGGGUGUUGAAGCCUUCUAUCUGCCCCAAUGGCCCAGGAUGAUGGCCAUGGUUGGUGAGGUGGCUGGUGGUUGCCCAAAAGUGCUGUGGGGCUCACCCUCCGCCACCUCUCUCCUUAGCCCCUGGCCAUGCACGAUCAGACUGGAAGCAGCACAACUGAGAGCCAUUUGCUCUGUCUGAGUGUGCACGUGUUUUACGGAGUGGUGACAACAUGAUGUACACAUUUCAACCAGAUGUGAUGGCUGUGUAGCAUAGUAGCACCAGGGACGCUCGACUGCGCAGGGCUGGAAGCAGUGGCACAGGAAGUCUGGUCCCAUAUUUACCUUUCCCUGCAGCUAUGUCCUGGGGUAAGGAGGAUGGAGCUGGGCCACUGCUGGCAUGGGAGACUCCCUGGGCACACUGAGCUGAAGGAAACAAAACAAUGAAGAUGCUUUGGGGAAGAACAGCAAGGAGAAGCCCUCAAAGGAGAAGCCUUAAAAUUAUCUGACUGCCUGAGCCUUCUCUUGAAGCACAGGAGCUGGUGUAGAGCCCAUGAAGAUCUGUGCCACUCCUGAUCACUGCUGGCUCUGGCUGGUGCUUGAAUACUUGUAAUAGGGUCUAGACAAAGGUUAGAGAUGCUCGGAUUGGUAAGCUGUGCCAGGAGAGGAUUAGCUGGGUGUUAGGAAAAGUUCUUGAUCAGAGUGUGGUUGGGUUCUGGAACAGGCUUCCCAGGGCCGUGGUCGUGACCCCAAGCUGCUGGAGUUCUUGGACAGUGCCCUCAGACAUAAGUGUUGAAUUUUGUGUGUUGCUGUGUGGAGCCAGAAGUUGGACUCACUGAUCCUUGUGGCUCCCUUCAAGCUUGGGACAUCGUGGAAUCAUAGAAUGGCUUGACUUGGAAGGGACUCCAAGGAUCAUCAAGUUCCAACCCUCCUGCCACAGGCAGGGGCACCAACCU
Gallus gallus (chicken) is the source of this 1309-nucleotide long non-coding RNA. NCBI's taxonomy places the organism in Eukaryota, Metazoa, Chordata, Aves, Galliformes, Phasianidae. The record is from Ensembl.